RNAcentral lists this transfer RNA (85 nucleotides) under candidate division SR1 bacterium. RNAcentral's name for it is "tRNA-Leu". It matches the Rfam family "tRNA". From Rfam's summary of the family: Transfer RNA (tRNA) molecules are approximately 80 nucleotides in length. Their secondary structure includes four short double-helical elements and three loops (D, anti-codon, and T loops). Further hydrogen bonds mediate the characteristic L-shaped molecular structure. tRNAs have two regions of fundamental functional importance: the anti-codon, which is responsible for specific mRNA codon recognition, and the 3' end, to which the tRNAs corresponding amino acid is attached (by aminoacyl-tRNA synthetases). tRNAs cope with the degeneracy of the genetic code in two manners: having more than one tRNA (with a specific anti-codon) for a particular amino acid; and 'wobble' base-pairing, i.e. permitting non-standard base-pairing at the 3rd anti-codon position. Lineage: Bacteria; Candidatus Absconditibacteriota. The record is from RNAcentral.
GCCCAGUUGGUGGAAUUGGUAGACACGCUAGCCUUAGGAGCUAGUGCCUUAGGGUGUCAGGGUUCGAGUCCCUGAUUGGGCACCA